GGACAAUUAGGACAAGGAAAGUGAGAGAAAUAGAAUGAUCAUUUAUUUUUUUUAGGAAACGAAGGAAGGAAAAAAGCCAUUUCCUGUUUAAAUUCAACAGUAAAAAUCACGAACUGAAGACAUCGUGACUUUUUGAAAUCGUUUAUGUUUUUGAGUCAAACGGAGCAGGUGGUGAUGGAUCAUUUCUGUUCCUCGAAGAGUUUUUAAAAAAAAAAAAAAAAAAAACAUUAAAUCCUAAAUGUAUGAAAAAUAAAUAUUAUGUACAUUUUAUGUCUAAUUACAGUGAACCUGACGGAGUGAAGCUGACAGAGGCGAAGUGUUCACGCUACAGCAAAUUUCACCGGUUGACACUAAACUCAACUCGCUCACUUAGGAGGUGCGUUUCUCUGUCCCGGGAUAUUCCUAGCACUGUGUGUGAAAGCACCUGAUAUGUCCAGCAUGGAGACGUGUGUGUAUGUUGAUGUGUACACAGUACCAAUGGUCAUUUGGAAUUGUAAAGCAAAACUUUACAAAACUCUUUCUGCACUCGAUUGAGGAAACACAAUGAUAAAUAAAUAAAUAAAUAAAUAAAUAAAUAAAUAAAAUCUGUCCAGCUUCCUCCUCUUCGUCCCCCAGAAUGACGUGUGGGUGACGGAUUGACGGAUUUAAAAAAAAAGAUGUCUGGGCAAACUAUGACCUCCUCGAGUUAAAAGAGAGCAUCCAAGGAAAUUUAAUGUGUUAACUGCACUACAUUCUGCAGUCACACAGCACCAGAAAGAAAAUGUACAUCUACUAGAACACACAAAACAGGCUUUUGAGUAUUAGUUACCCUGUCUUACUGUACAAAGCACCUGCAAAUAAUCAAGCAAGUUCAUCUAUCAUUUCACUUCCACUGUUCAGUCUUUUGACCAGUCUAAAAUAAAAAGACUAAAAAGAAACUGAGACUUAGCAAGAAGAACUAAAGAUCUGUGGAUGAUGAAGUCUCAGUUCCACCGCAGCUUCAACAGCCCUGGAUCUUCUCCUUUAAAGCUUGGAGAAGGGCACGUCUUUCGGACUCUUUUUC
Molecule: long non-coding RNA, 1042 nt
Organism: Ictalurus punctatus (channel catfish)
Lineage: Eukaryota; Metazoa; Chordata; Actinopteri; Siluriformes; Ictaluridae
Source: Ensembl